RNAcentral lists this small nucleolar RNA (138 nucleotides) under Microcebus murinus (gray mouse lemur). RNAcentral's name for it is "Small nucleolar RNA SNORA8 (ENSMICG00000022364.3)". It matches the Rfam family "Small nucleolar RNA SNORA8". Rfam says of the family: ACA8 is a member of the H/ACA class of snoRNA that guide the sites of modification of uridines to pseudouridines. The record is from Rfam by way of RNAcentral. Lineage: Eukaryota; Metazoa; Chordata; Mammalia; Primates; Cheirogaleidae.
UGCACUGCACAGUUCUGCAUUUAGCAGUUAAUUCCUGCUAAGGCAUGCAAAGGUCAGUGCCACAGAAAUUCAGUAUCUGGCAUCUUUGGUUUUCUCGGCUUUGUGCAUAUUUAACCUUGUAUUUGUAUUGAUAGAGUA